This 72-nucleotide transfer RNA is filed under the name Camelus bactrianus (Bactrian camel). It matches the Rfam family "tRNA". Rfam says of the family: Transfer RNA (tRNA) molecules are approximately 80 nucleotides in length. Their secondary structure includes four short double-helical elements and three loops (D, anti-codon, and T loops). Further hydrogen bonds mediate the characteristic L-shaped molecular structure. tRNAs have two regions of fundamental functional importance: the anti-codon, which is responsible for specific mRNA codon recognition, and the 3' end, to which the tRNAs corresponding amino acid is attached (by aminoacyl-tRNA synthetases). tRNAs cope with the degeneracy of the genetic code in two manners: having more than one tRNA (with a specific anti-codon) for a particular amino acid; and 'wobble' base-pairing, i.e. permitting non-standard base-pairing at the 3rd anti-codon position. The record is from Rfam by way of RNAcentral. RNAcentral also lists the same sequence under 2 other names. Lineage: Eukaryota; Metazoa; Chordata; Mammalia; Artiodactyla; Camelidae.
GUGGGUAUAGGUCAGUGGUAGCACACAUGCUCAGCAUGCAUGAGGUCCUGGGUUCAAUCCCCAGUACCACCA